Molecule: transfer RNA, 69 nt
Filed under: Actinomycetota bacterium
Lineage: Bacteria; Bacillati; Actinomycetota
Description: tRNA-Ser
Rfam family: tRNA
About the family: Transfer RNA (tRNA) molecules are approximately 80 nucleotides in length. Their secondary structure includes four short double-helical elements and three loops (D, anti-codon, and T loops).
Source: RNAcentral
GCGGGUUCGCGGCCAAUCGCAGUCGGUCUACGGAACCGAAGGUCACAGGUUCGAAUCCUGUCGGGCGCG